Motacilla alba alba is the source of this 527-nucleotide long non-coding RNA. RefSeq lists it as uncharacterized. The record is from RefSeq and is a predicted model, not a curated record. Lineage: Eukaryota; Metazoa; Chordata; Aves; Passeriformes; Motacillidae. The transcript is spliced from 3 exons.
AAUCCAGAUGUACGAAGAAAGUUUUUUGCUGAGAUGUGAUACUUCCAUAACCAUUACCUCGAUCAGGAGAAAAACAGGAGUGAAUGUCCUAACACAUCAGUCUGAGACAGCAUUAAAUCAAAUCACCAGCCACAUAUCUUCACUGGCCUGCAUCCAGCACUUUAUUGGAAUUGAAUCUUUCCAGAAGCCCUCAGCUGAACUACUGACCAGAGAAAACAGCAGCUACAUAACAGCCCAGAACUGGGAUGCAGAUUGACGGGGAGAAGAAGUGACUCCUAAAAUGCUGGCCACAGAACUAGAAACCAGACUGCAAUUUACCUGACUCUCUUCUAGCACAUCCUGUAGCAACACAGAAGAAAGAAGGAAACUAGCAAUGAAAGAAAGAGGUGAUCUAGCAAUGAAAGAAAGUGACUAGAAAACCACAAGCAAAAGACAUGAAAAGAAACAUGAUAUAAGUAUGAAACCAUAUAAAGUAUGAAAACCAGAAUUAAUAGAAAAAGAAGGAUAGGAAAAGCAGAAAAUAUAAA